Molecule: ribosomal RNA, 492 nt
Filed under: uncultured bacterium
Lineage: Bacteria
Description: partial 16S ribosomal RNA
Rfam family: Bacterial small subunit ribosomal RNA
Source: RNAcentral
AGUGAACGCUGGCGGUAGGCCUAACAUAUGCAAGUCGAACGGCAGCACAGUAAGAGCUUGCUCUUACGGGUGGCGAGUGGCGGACGGGUGAGGAAUACAUCGGAAUCUACUUUUUCGUGGGGGAUAACGUAGGGAAACUUACGCUAAUACCGCAUACGACCUACGGGUGAAAGCAGGGGAUCUUCGGACCUUGCGCGAUUGAAUGAGCCGAUGUCGGAUUAGCUAGUUGGCGGGGUAAAGGCCCACCAAGGCGACGAUCCGUAGCUGGUCUGAGAGGAUGAUCAGCCACACUGGAACUGAGACACGGUCCAGACCCCUACGGGAGGCAGCAGUGGGGAAUAUUGGACAAUGGGCGCAAGCCUGAUCCAGCCAUACCGCGUGGGUGAAGAAGGCCUUCGGGUUGUAAAGCCCUUUUGUUGGGAAAGAAAAGCAGCAGGUUAAUACCCCGCUGUUCUGACGGUACCCAAAGAAUAAGCACCGGCUAACUUCGUG